CAAUCAUUUAAGCGCUGCAAUGGAGCUCAAUGUCUGGCUCAGCUGCUGUGUGGUGUAACCUCUGACUCCCACUCCCAGCCCUGUGCACUCACAAACACAGACUGCUCUAAAGAAAGAACGUUUCUCUGGGGUAUGUAACUGCAUAAGGCUCAGCAAGAGAUCAGGCAGAGAGGAAAAUCUCUGUGCAUGGGUCACUUCUUUUCUCUUACUGAUACUAUUUCAAAUCUAAUUGAAACAUUCUUUGGAGAAAGCUGUGCUACCCACCCCUUCAGCUUUGAUAUGGCUUUUUAAUCAGAGGACAUUGUUAUUUCACAAUGAGCAUGGAAAGCAUUUAAAACAUUUUCUAGAUGGAGUGCAUUACUCCUGACCUCAGCUAGAAGACCACAUUAAAAGAAGUUCAGUGGGAUUCACUCUUUACAGCCUUAGGGUUUUGAAAGAUUGGUGCAGAUGUGGGAUUUGCUAAGACACAGGUUCGCUGAUUAUAAAGGCUUAAACAGUGAGAUGACUUAAAAACUGCAAGGUCAGUUCUUGCUGGUGAUUCCUUGCAGUGCUCCAGGGAAUUGUGAUGUGAGCAUUACCCCUAACCAUGUGACACCAUGGGUGAUGCAUUACUGUCAUGUUGGGACUGGGCAGAGCGAUGGUGGAAGGUGGCUCAAGGACUCAAGCCUUCCACUGAGCCUUCCUCUUCACUGGUCCUCCAAGGUGAUGGCUGAGUUCUACCACCACUGUCACUCACAAGCUGUCACAAUGCUUGUCCUGUGGAGGACAGUGAGCUCUGUGGGUACAUUUUCCCAUCACUUCCCAGAACCAAGAAGAGCAUCACUGGAGACCUGCUAUGAUGAAGUACACCAGACUUGCAUUUUUGCUCUGAUCAGUUCUACCAUAUUGUCUCAAGUUUGUUCCCAAUGCGAAGUAAGGAACCUCUGAAGCUGGACUUGCUGGAGUUGUGCAUACAUACAGUGUACAACUUACCUAUUCUGCUAGAUAGUGCUUUUGAGUUUCAGGUUGAAAUAAACACCAGAU
RNAcentral lists this long non-coding RNA (1023 nucleotides) under Phasianus colchicus (ring-necked pheasant). RNAcentral describes it as "lncRNA (ENSPCLG00000005562.1)". The record is from RNAcentral. Lineage: Eukaryota; Metazoa; Chordata; Aves; Galliformes; Phasianidae.